RNAcentral lists this ribosomal RNA (258 nucleotides) under uncultured bacterium. RNAcentral describes it as "partial 16S ribosomal RNA". It matches the Rfam family "Bacterial small subunit ribosomal RNA", at positions 96 to 354 of the family's 1533-position model. The record is from RNAcentral.
UGGCGGACGGGUGAGUAACGCGUGGAAAACCUGCCGUAUACUGGGGGAUAACACUUAGAAAUAGGUGCUAAUACCGCAUAAGCGCACAGCUUCGCAUGAAGCGGUGUGAAAAACUCUGGUGGUAUACGAUGGUUCCGCGUCUGAUUAGCUAGUUGGUGGGGUAAUGGCCUACCAAGGCGACGAUCAGUAGCCGGCCUGAGAGGGUGAACGGCCACAUUGGGACUGAGACACGGCCCAAACUCCUACGGGAGGCAGCAG